CCUACGGGGGGCUGCAGUGGGGAAUUUUGGACAAUGGGCGCAAGCCUGAUCCAGCCAUGCCGCGUGCAGGAUGAAGGCCUUCGGGUUGUAAACUGCUUUUGUGAACAGCUCGGUACCGUAAGAAUAAGCACCGGCUAACUACGUGCCAGCAGCCGCGGUAAUACGUAGGGUGCGAGCGUUAAUCGGAAUUACUGGGCGUAAAGCGUGCGCAGGCGGUUAUGUAAGACAGAUGUGAAAUCCCCGGGCUCAACCUGGGAACUGCAUUUGUGACUGCAUAGCUAGAGUACGGCAGAGGGGGAUGGAAUUCCGCGUGUAGCAGUGAAAUGCGUAGAUAUGCGGAGGAACACCGAUGGCGAAGGCAAUCCCCUGGGCCUGACUGACGCUCAUGCACGAAAGCGUGGGGAGCAAACAGGAUUAGAUACCCUUGUAGUC
RNAcentral lists this ribosomal RNA (432 nucleotides) under uncultured bacterium. RNAcentral describes it as "partial 16S ribosomal RNA". It matches the Rfam family "Bacterial small subunit ribosomal RNA", at positions 338 to 795 of the family's 1533-position model. The record is from RNAcentral.